GGGGAAUCUUGCACAAUGGGCGGAAGCCUGAUGCAGCGACGCCGCGUGCGGGACGAAGGCCUUCGGGCUGUAAACCGCUUUCAGCAGGGACGAGGCGAAAGUGACGGUACCUGCAGAAGAAGCCCCGGCUAACUACGUGCCAGCAGCCGCGGUAAUACGUAGGGGGCAAGCGUUAUCCGGAUUCAUUGGGCGUAAAGCGCGCGUAGGCGGCCAGCCUGGUCGGGAGUCAAAUCCGGGGGCUCAACCCCCGUCCGCUCCCGAUACCGGCCGGCUUGAGUCUGGCAGGGGAAGGCGGAAUUCCCGGUGUAGCGGUGGAAUGCGCAGAUAUCGGGAAGAACACCGGUGGCGAAGGCGGCCUUCUGGGCCACGACUGACGCUGAGGCGCGAAAGCUAGGGGAGCGAAC
RNAcentral lists this ribosomal RNA (404 nucleotides) under uncultured bacterium. RNAcentral's name for it is "bacterial SSU rRNA". It matches the Rfam family "Bacterial small subunit ribosomal RNA", at positions 356 to 773 of the family's 1533-position model. The record is from RNAcentral.